RNAcentral lists this ribosomal RNA (506 nucleotides) under uncultured bacterium. RNAcentral describes it as "partial 16S ribosomal RNA". It matches the Rfam family "Bacterial small subunit ribosomal RNA", at positions 29 to 523 of the family's 1533-position model. The record is from RNAcentral.
AGUGAACGCUGGCGGUAGGCCUAACACAUGCAAGUCGAACGGCAGCACAGGAGAGCUUGCUCUCUGGGUGGCGAGUGGCGGACGGGUGAGGAAUGCAUCGGAGUCUACUUUUUCGUGGGGGAUAACGUAGGGAAACUUACGCUAAUACCGCAUACGACCUACGGGGGAAAGCAGGGGAUCUUCGGACCUUGCGCGAUUGAAUGAGCCGAUGUCGGAUUAGCUAGUUGGCGGGGUAAAGGCCCACCAAGGCGACGAUCCGUAGCUGGUCUGAGAGGAUGAUCAGCCACACUGGAACUGAGACACGGUCCAGACUCCUACGGGAGGCAGCAGUGGGGAAUAUUGGACAAUGGGCGCAAGCCUGAUCCAGCCAUACCGCGUGGGUGAAGAAGGCCUUCGGGUUGUAAAGCCCUUUUGUUGGGAAAGAAAUCCAGCUGGCUAAUACCCGGUUGGGAUGACGGUAUCCAAAGAAUAAGCACCGGCUAACUUCGUGCCAGCAGCCGCGGUAA